UAUCCAUGGUGUGGACAUUUAAUCAACAAAUCAUGAAAUCUCUCCCAAGUUUGAUAAAAUUCUUCAUCUACCUUCUCCUUAAAAUUACUAAUGGCAUCCCUCAUUGA
This 107-nucleotide small nucleolar RNA is filed under the name Macleaya cordata. RNAcentral's name for it is "Plant small nucleolar RNA R71". It matches the Rfam family "Plant small nucleolar RNA R71". Rfam says of the family: R71 is a member of the C/D box family of snoRNAs containing the C (UGAUGA) and D (CUGA) box motifs. Multiple nearly identical copies of this snoRNA have been identified in Arabidopsis, and it is thought to function as a 2'-O-ribose methylation guide for 18S ribosomal RNA. Lineage: Eukaryota; Viridiplantae; Streptophyta; Magnoliopsida; Ranunculales; Papaveraceae. The record is from Rfam by way of RNAcentral.